This is a long non-coding RNA of Pogona vitticeps (central bearded dragon), 575 nucleotides long. RefSeq lists it as uncharacterized. The record is from RefSeq and is a predicted model, not a curated record. NCBI's taxonomy places the organism in Eukaryota, Metazoa, Chordata, Lepidosauria, Squamata, Agamidae.
CCUCCGCGCUGUUGCCGCCACGGCGUUUGCUGCCCCUGCCCCUCUUCGUCUUCUCCCUCCUCCCCCUGGCGCUGCUGCUCCUCCUGCUGCCGCCGCUCCGUCAGCCAGUGCCGCUUCAGCCACACGCGCAGGCAGGCAGGCACGGCACGUCCGCCCGCCCGACCCCACCGCCGAGCGACCCACCCGGGAGAAAGGGAAUAGGAAGCAGCGCUGGCGGCCGCGGCCCGUAAUCACCUUUUAAAUAUUUGGCUGUAUAUCCCUAAAGCAGGAGUGGGCCAAACACCAGAAGGAUGUAAAAAGCCAAAGUAACAAAGCUGACUUUUUUUUCUGCAAAGGUGUGCUUCCAGGCAUUUGGUAAGAACAAGAAAGAGACAAUGAAUUCUGUGUGACACCUCUCCAUUAUUUGUGUGUGCUGUUGAUGCAUGUGAUGUUAAUAUGAUUUUUUAAAAUAUUCAUUUUUAAUGUUCUGUAACAGGAAUCACCAGGCAUCACAGCAAUGAAAUUAAAUUGCUGUCUUUGAACCAACUACAUUUUUCAGUGUUAUAAAUGAAUAAAUAUUUACCAUCUUAAAUCCA